RNAcentral lists this ribosomal RNA (657 nucleotides) under Klebsiella aerogenes. RNAcentral's name for it is "partial 23S ribosomal RNA". It matches the Rfam family "Bacterial large subunit ribosomal RNA", at positions 167 to 867 of the family's 2925-position model. RNAcentral also lists the same sequence under 7 other names. Lineage: Bacteria; Pseudomonadati; Pseudomonadota; Gammaproteobacteria; Enterobacterales; Enterobacteriaceae. The record is from RNAcentral.
UAGGUUAACGAGGCGAACCGGGGGAACUGAAACAUCUAAGUACCCCGAGGAAAAGAAAUCAACCGAGAUUCCCCCAGUAGCGGCGAGCGAACGGGGAGCAGCCCAGAGUCUGAAUCAGCUUGUGUGUUAGUGGAACGGUCUGGAAAGUCCGACGGUACAGGGUGAUAGUCCCGUACACCAAAAUGCACAGGCUGUGAACUCGAAGAGUAGGGCGGGACACGUGGUAUCCUGUCUGAAUAUGGGGGGACCAUCCUCCAAGGCUAAAUACUCCUGACUGACCGAUAGUGAACCAGUACCGUGAGGGAAAGGCGAAAAGAACCCCGGCGAGGGGAGUGAAAAAGAACCUGAAACCGUGUACGUACAAGCAGUGGGAGCACCUUCGGGUGUGACUGCGUACCUUUUGUAUAAUGGGUCAGCGACUUAUAUUCUGUAGCAAGGUUAACCGUAUAGGGGAGCCGCAGGGAAACCGAGUCUUAACUGGGCGUUAAGUUGCAGGGUAUAGACCCGAAACCCGGUGAUCUAGCCAUGGGCAGGUUGAAGGUUGGGUAACACUAACUGGAGGACCGAACCGACUAAUGUUGAAAAAUUAGCGGAUGACUUGUGGCUGGGGGUGAAAGGCCAAUCAAACCGGGAGAUAGCUGGUUCUCCCCGAAAGCU